CCCCUCAUCAUUCUAGUCACACCCCCUAGACACAUUAAAUUCAACCAAAUGCCCAAAGUGCCUCUAUCUAUGAUCAUAUUCAAGUUUCAAAACACUUUUCUCUCUUAUCCAUGUUCAAAUUGUAGUGAUUUUUUUAAUUUAUUACUAUUAUGCGAUCUUUGACGUACAACAUGAACAAAUUCAUUGACGUACAACAUGAACAAAUUCUUCAUCAAAGUAACUGUUGAUAGGUAAAUACACUGCUACAAAUUCUCAGUUCAUAUUUCUCUUAAGUGGUAGAGAGCUUCCUAGAGUAAACGAUAUACAUGGGAUCAGAGCGUCCGGGAUUUGGAGAUAUAUCCACAGCCUACAAAAAGAAAAGACAUUGGCCUCAGCAUUGGUAACACUGUCACAUGCUAACAUCAUAUACAACAUUGUAGAGGCUUUCAUAUUUGUUUCAUGACUAGUAAAAGAAAAUUCUGUUUAAUAUAUAGGGAAAACAAGAGGUUGAAUUAAUUACCCUUCAGCAGUACCUUAAACCAUACUAUUUAGUAUGUUAUAACUGAAGUUUGUCCUAACAAAAUGGGAAAAUAUCAGUGAGAUUUACCUCAGGAGGUUCAAAUCCUCCAGCAUAAUGAAAAUACGAUCCAACAAUCAUAACGUGAUCAGCAUCUCCAGUUGAAGUCCAUAUAGAAAUGGCCUUUGUAAAGAAGCAUCGGUUUGAGAAGCUGGAAUCAUUCAUCCUUAGUUGAGUAGGAUAUUGUAAGAUAUACAAGACCAAUAAUAGAUAUAACAUUGUAAAAUAGAGAAAUGUUAUUACUGAAAAGAUAUGAUCGCAUAUCAUGUUCAUUGCGUGAACCAUGCCCUGAGAAGUAGAAUAGGAUAUGAUCGCCCGACAUAGAAUUAUGUAGCAUGUCCUUCAAUUCAAAUCGUUCAUUAUACAUUGUGAACGGUUGAUAAGAUACGGACCGUUAUCCGUCACAAAGAUAAUAUUUUCUUCUUGAAACCCAUAUGAUUUAAUCAAUGAUUUAAUCAAUGAAAGUUUCAAAAGUUCGGCAUAUUUCACAUAACACAAUCUAUUGUACAUGUUCUGUGGAAACUCAGAGUGUAGUAUUCUUCCUACUGUUAUUACUGGUACUUACGCAAAUUAAUAAAUUUUAUUGAAUUUAUGUUUCAAUGUCUGGAUAUCAUUUAAAUUAUUUCAUUUUCUUUGCAGAAAAAGAUUUAAAUUCUUGUGCGGUCUUGUUACCGGAUUCAAUAUUUUUAACAGUGACAAUGGAUUGUUGCUAUAGUGGUGGGUUUUUUAAAUCGAUAAAACAACAGGUACUCUGUAAGCCAAGAAGAGGGUUUGGCGUUAUUUCAGAUUUUACAGAUUUUCAAAAGCUACUCGAUAGGCCAAGAGGGUUAGGCGAAGUUCCACAUUUUCAAAGUGAAGCAGAUUUUGAAAGUGAAGACAAUGGAACACAGUGGAAACGAAUAUGCUUUAUUUCCUCGUCUGACAGAAAUCAAGUUUCAUACGACAGUAAAAGAAUAUUUCGAGAAUGCAUUUCCGCUUUUUCCGACGCUCUAUUAAGCUGCAUGGGCAGGGAAGGAGACCUCAACAAUUUUGAAUUGACGAGGGAGAUAAACAACAUUUUAGCUUAUACUUGCUCAAUUCAAACGGCUUGUCUAAAGUGUGAUAAUAAUUUAUCACCUAAAUUGUUUCUAGAUGGAAAAGAAAAGAAUUAAUAGCAAUGAAGUAUAUGCCUCGUGUUUUGAACUAUAGAUCAAUGAUGUUCGUGAUGUGACCUGGUGGUAGGAUGUUUUGUAAGAUGUUUUGUGCUUGAGAUGUCAUUAACAUGUGGUUUGAUGAUGUGGAUUCAUCGAAAAAGUCUCUAAAUUAGUUGAUGAUUUCUAAAUAAAUCUUUAAACUUAAAGAUUUUAAUUUUGUCCCUAAAAUUUGAAUAAUUUAUAAUUAGAUUUUUAAAUUUAGGAUCUAAUUAUAAAUUAUAGAGUAUUAGAAACCUAAUUAUAAUAUUUUUUGUUACAAAAAGCUACUUAAAAUUCUCUACAAAGUUUAAUCAAAGCCUAAAAAACUAGUUUAAUCAAAAGGAAAAUGUUCAAACCUAUGUUUACUGAGCCCACAUAUGAAUUGUUUUCAAAACACAUUUAAUUUAAUAACACCCCCUCAUCAUUCUAGUCACACCCCCUAGACACAUUAAAUUCAACCAAAUGCCCAAAGUGCCUCUAUCUAUGAUCAUAUUCAAGUUUCAAAACACUUUUCUCUCUUAUCCAUGUUCAAAUUGUAGUGAUUUUUUUAAUUUAUUACUAUUAUGCGAUCUUUGACGUACAACAUGAACAAAUUCAUUGACGUACAACAUGAACAAAUUCUUCAUCAAAGUAACUGUUGAUAGGUAAAUACACUGCUACAAAUUCUCAGUUCAUAUUUCUCUUAAGUGGUAGAGAGCUUCCUAGAGUAAACGAUAUACAUGGGAUCAGAGCGUCCGGGAUUUGGAGAUAUAUCCACAGCCUACAAAAAGAAAAGACAUUGGCCUCAGCAUUGGUAACACUGUCACAUGAUAACAUCAUAUACAACAUUGUAGAGGCUUUCAUAUUUGUUUCAUGACUAGUAAAAGAAAAUUCUGUUUAAUAUAU
This 2613-nucleotide long non-coding RNA is filed under the name Cicer arietinum (chickpea). RNAcentral's name for it is "long non-coding RNA (CARI_LNC002643)". The record is from RNAcentral. Lineage: Eukaryota; Viridiplantae; Streptophyta; Magnoliopsida; Fabales; Fabaceae.